Molecule: ribosomal RNA, 495 nt
Filed under: uncultured bacterium
Lineage: Bacteria
Description: partial 16S ribosomal RNA
Rfam family: Bacterial small subunit ribosomal RNA
Source: RNAcentral
GACGAACGCUGGCGGCGUGCCUAAUACAUGCAAGUAGAACGCUGAAGGAGGAGCUUGCUCUUCUGGAUGAGUUGCGAACGGGUGAGUAACGCGUAGGUAACCUGCCUGGUAGCGGGGGAUAACUAUUGGAAACGAUAGCUAAUACCGCAUAACAGUAGAUGUUGCAUGACAUUUACUUAAAAGGUGCAAUUGCAUCACUACCAGAUGGACCCGCGUUGUAUUAGCUAGUAGGUGGGGUAACGGCGCACCAAGGCGACGAUACAUACCCGACCUGAGAGGGUGAGCGGCCACACUGGGAGUGAGACACGGCCCAGACGGCUACAGGAGGCAGCAGUAGUGAUUCGUCGGCAAUGGACGGAAGUCUGACCGAGCAACGCCGCGGGAGUGAAGAAGGUUGUCGGAUCGGAAAGCUCGGUUGUAAGAGAAGAACGAGUGUGAGAGUGGAAAGUUCACACUGUGACGGUAACGGACCAGAAAGGGACGGCUAACUACGUG